GGAGAGAAGAGAGGAGAGUUCCCAGAUCUCCAGUUUCUAGUGAAGUUGGAGACCCAAGACUCUUGGAAGGGGUGGAGAAAGUGAGGAAGAGCCGACAAAGCAAGAAGAGGAACCCCAACCAAGAAAAAGUGCAGAACCAACUUUUGAUGAGCUGGCCAUGUUACACAGGAGAACACAGGCUUCCCAUGCUUGCAGUACAUUCUGUUGACCAGGAUCAAGUUACUACAUCUGGAGGGGAGGAGAACUAGACUCCACCUUCUGACGGGAGUGUCAGGCCAUUGCCGGACAUCCAGAUUCUGGAAGAUGAUUGAUUCCUAGCAGCUCACUCUGAGGCAAGCUCAAAAGGACAGCCAAGAGUUUAGGUGAUAUGGACUGCAGAUGUGCCCCAAGUAGAUGCUGUGAAGUUCACUGAUCCAUUGAGGAAAAUGUUGUGCUGUGUCUGCCAAGAGUAAUAACAAGGCGCUUGGGCUGGCAUUACAGCUUACUGCUGUGGAACUCUGUAAUAUGCAUGGGUGUGAAGGUGGCACCAUUGACAGC
Long non-coding RNA from Arvicola amphibius (Eurasian water vole), 537 nucleotides. RefSeq lists it as uncharacterized. The record is from RefSeq and is a predicted model, not a curated record. Lineage: Eukaryota; Metazoa; Chordata; Mammalia; Rodentia; Cricetidae. The transcript has 6 exons.